CCUACGGGAGGCAGCAGUGGGGAAUAUUGGACAAUGGGGGGAACCCUGAUCCAGCCAUGCCGCGUGUGUGAAGAAGGCCCUCGGGUUGUAAAGCACUUUCAGUGAGGAAGAACGCCUGGUGGUUAAUACCCAUCAGGAAAGACAUCACUCACAGAAGAAGCACCGGCUAACUCCGUGCCAGCAGCCGCGGUAAUACGGAGGGUGCGAGCGUUAAUCGGAAUUACUGGGCGUAAAGCGCGCGUAGGUGGCUUGAUAAGCCGGUUGUGAAAGCCCCGGGCUCAACCUGGGAACGGCAUCCGGAACUGUCAAGCUAGAGUGCAGGAGAGGAAGGUAGAAUUCCCGGUGUAGCGGUGAAAUGCGUAGAGAUCGGGAGGAAUACCAGUGGCGAAGGCGGCCUUCUGGACUGACACUGACACUGAGGUGCGAAAGCGUGGGUAGCAAACAGGAUUAGAUACCCCGGUAGUC
RNAcentral lists this ribosomal RNA (465 nucleotides) under Vreelandella stevensii. RNAcentral describes it as "partial 16S ribosomal RNA". It matches the Rfam family "Bacterial small subunit ribosomal RNA", at positions 338 to 795 of the family's 1533-position model. The record is from RNAcentral. Lineage: Bacteria; Pseudomonadati; Pseudomonadota; Gammaproteobacteria; Oceanospirillales; Halomonadaceae.